UACGGAGGGGGCUAGCGUUGUUCGGAAUUACUGGGCGUAAAGCGCGCGUAGGCGGACCUGCAAGUCGGGGGUGAAAGCCCGAGGCUCAACCUCGGAACUGCCUUCGAUACUGCGGGUCUCGAGUCCGGGAGAGGUGAGUGGAAUUCCUAGUGUAGAGGUGAAAUUCGUAGAUAUCGCCUGGAACGCCGACGGUGAAAACAGCUCGCUGGGGGUCUUCUGACGCUGAGACACGAAAGCCAGGGGAGCGAACGGG
Molecule: ribosomal RNA, 253 nt
Filed under: uncultured bacterium
Lineage: Bacteria
Description: partial 16S ribosomal RNA
Rfam family: Bacterial small subunit ribosomal RNA
Source: RNAcentral